Molecule: ribosomal RNA, 600 nt
Filed under: uncultured Actinomycetes bacterium
Lineage: Bacteria; Bacillati; Actinomycetota; Actinomycetes
Description: bacterial SSU rRNA
Rfam family: Bacterial small subunit ribosomal RNA
Source: RNAcentral
GUGAGGUAAAGGCUCACCAAGGCAUCGACGGGUAGCUAGUCUGAGAGGACGAAUAGCCACACUGGAACUGAGACACGGUCCAGACUCCUACGGGAGGCAGCAGUGGGGAAUCUUGCACAAUGGGCGAAAGCCUGAUGCAGCGACGCCGCGUGGGGGAUGAAGGCCUUAGGGUCGUAAACCCCUUUCAGGAGGGACGAAAAUGACGGUACCUACAGAAGAAGCUCCGGCCAACUACGUGCCAGCAGCCGCGGUAACACGUAGGGAGCAAGCGUUGUCCGGAUUUAUUGGGCGUAAAGAGCUCGUAGGUGGUUCCGUAAGUCGGAUGUGAAAACUCAAGGCUCAACCUUGAGACGCCAUCCGAUACUGCGGUGACUUGAGUUCGGUAGAGGAGUGUGGAAUUCCUGGUGUAGCGGUGAAAUGCGCAGAUAUCAGGAGGAACACCGACAGCGAAGGCAGCACUCUGGGCCGAUACUGACACUGAGGAGCGAAAGCAUGGGGAGCAAACAGGAUUAGAUACCCUGGUAGUCCAUGCCGUAAACGUUGGGCACUAGGUGUGGGGAUUUAUCAACGAUCUCCGCGCCGUCGCAAACGCAUUAAGUG